CUACGGGACGCUCCAGUGAGGAAUAUUGCACAAUGGGGGGAACCCUGAUGCAGCAACGCCGCGUGGAGGAUGACGCAUUUCGGUGUGUAAACUCCUUUUAUAUGUCAAGAAAAUGACGGUAGCAUAUGAAUAAGCACCGGCUAACUCCGUGCCAGCAGCCGCGGUAAUACGGAGGGUGCAAGCGUUACUCGGAAUCACUGGGCGUAAAGGACGCGUAGGCGGGGUGGAAAGUCAGGUGGGAAAUCCUACAGCUUAACUGUAGAACUGCACUUGAAACUUCUAAUCUAGAGUAUGGGAGGGGGAGAUGGAAUUAGUGGUGUAGGGGUAAAAUCCGUAGAUAUCACUAGGAAUACCUAAAGCGAAGGCGAUCUCCUGGAACAUUACUGACGCUAAGGCGUGAAAGCGUGGGGAGCAAACAGGAUUAGAUACCCGGGUAGUC
This 439-nucleotide ribosomal RNA is filed under the name uncultured bacterium. RNAcentral describes it as "partial 16S ribosomal RNA". It matches the Rfam family "Bacterial small subunit ribosomal RNA", at positions 339 to 795 of the family's 1533-position model. The record is from RNAcentral.